RNAcentral lists this transfer RNA (69 nucleotides) under Ceracris hoffmanni. RNAcentral describes it as "tRNA-Gln". It matches the Rfam family "tRNA". Rfam says of the family: Transfer RNA (tRNA) molecules are approximately 80 nucleotides in length. Their secondary structure includes four short double-helical elements and three loops (D, anti-codon, and T loops). The record is from RNAcentral. RNAcentral also lists the same sequence under 1 other name. Lineage: Eukaryota; Metazoa; Arthropoda; Insecta; Orthoptera; Acrididae.
UACAUUAAGGUGUAAGAUGCACGUCAGUUUUUGAUACUGAAAGUGUUAGUUUGAUUCUAUCUAAUGUAA